AACGAACGCUGGCGGCAUGCCUAACACAUGCAAGUCGAACGAGACCUUCGGGUCUAGUGGCGCACGGGUGCGUAACGCGUGGGAACCUUCCCUUAGGUUCGGAAUAACUCCCCGAAAGGGGUGCUAAUACCGGAUAAUGUCUUCGGACCAAAGAUUUAUCGCCUUUGGCUGUGCCCGCGUUGGAUUAGCUAGUUGGUAGGGUAAAAGCCUACCAAGGCGACGAUCCAUAGCUGGUCUGAGAGGAUGAUCAGCCACACUGGGACUGAGACACGGCCCAGACUCCUACGGGAGGGAGCAGUGGGGACUAUUGGACAAGGGGCGAACGCCUGAUCCAGCAAUGCCGGGGGAGUGAUGAAGGCCGUAGGGUUGUAAAGCUCUUUUACACGCGAUGAUAAUGACAGUACCGGGAGAAUAAGCGCCGGCUAACUACGUG
RNAcentral lists this ribosomal RNA (433 nucleotides) under uncultured bacterium. RNAcentral describes it as "partial 16S ribosomal RNA". It matches the Rfam family "Bacterial small subunit ribosomal RNA", at positions 29 to 507 of the family's 1533-position model. The record is from RNAcentral.